This is a long non-coding RNA of Herpailurus yagouaroundi (jaguarundi), 841 nucleotides long. RefSeq lists it as uncharacterized. The transcript is spliced from 5 exons. Lineage: Eukaryota; Metazoa; Chordata; Mammalia; Carnivora; Felidae. The record is from RefSeq and is a predicted model, not a curated record.
UUGCAAUUGGUUGAGGAGACCAAACCGGAGGGCGAAUGCUCCCAGCUGGAGAAAAAGGGAAGCUUGGUAGGGGGAGGUUUUCUUUGGAGAGCGGCUGAAAUCCUACUGUUCCUGAGCUGGGCUCUUUGAGCUGUGGAGAUAUAUUCAGAAUAAGUUCAAUGGCGGUGAUGGAAAAUGUGGGACAACAGAAGCUUUAUGAGAUGGAGUCAUGUUGUCAAAACAUAACCAAACUGAAUCACUUCAAACGUAUCAUGCUAAAGGAGCUGAUAAAGAGGAAAGAAAACAAUUCAGGUUAUCAGUGAUCCUGCAUAGAACACUGGCCUUGGAAGUCAAGAGAUUUAAAUACCAACUCUUCUACAUAUUUAACUGAGCCUCAGUUUCUUCACCUGAAACAAAAAUGUAUACCACCUAUUCAAUGGCUAUUAAGAGAUUUAAAUAAGUUAGCCUACACUAAGCAAUUAGUAAUGUCCUUUUGUGUGCAAAACUAAUACCACAAUCAUUUCUGAUAGAUUUUUUUUUUUAAUUCAGUCUCCUCUAUAAACAUAAACAAUGUAUACCAGCUUCAAGGUCCCUUCAGUCUGUGUCUCGGACUGUGUAAAACAAAUUAAUUAGUGUACUUAUUAUUUACUGAGACAGGGUCUAUUAGAUUCACUCAAGAGACACUUGUCAUUUUUGGGCACGGAUUAUACCAGAGUUUAUGACACCCAUUAAGGAUGUAAUUUAUCCUAAACGGUUUAAAAGCGUUAAAAAAAAUCCCACAAACUCAGAGUUUAUGACAGAUCUGUCACAGAAGUGAAAGAGAAUGAUUACAGAGAAAACUGAAAACAAGCUAGCACUCUUU